CAUGCAGGCGGUUAGACAAGUCAGGGGUGAAAUCCCCGCGCUUAACGUGGGCAUUGCAUCUGAAACUGUUUAGCUAGAGUUCUGUAGAGGGGGGUAGAAUUCCAGGUGUAGCGGUGAAAUGCGUAGAUAUCGGAAGGAACAUCAGUGGCGAAAGCGGCUUCCUGGUCCAGAACCGACGUUCAGGCACGAAAGCGUGGGGAGCAAACAGGAUUAGAUACCCGCGUA
Molecule: ribosomal RNA, 225 nt
Filed under: uncultured Thorsellia sp.
Lineage: Bacteria; Pseudomonadati; Pseudomonadota; Gammaproteobacteria; Enterobacterales; Thorselliaceae
Description: partial 16S ribosomal RNA
Rfam family: Bacterial small subunit ribosomal RNA
Source: RNAcentral